UUAAAACAAGCUUUUAAGAGCAGAUGGCGGAUGCCUUGCCAAAGAGAGGCGAUGAAGGACGUACUAGACUGCGAUAAGCUAUGCGGAGCUGUCAAGGAGCUUUGAUGCGUAGAUGUCCGAAUGGGGCAACCCAACUAAUAGAGAUAUUAGUUACUCUUUAAAUAGAGAGCGAACCUAGUGAAGUGAAACAUCUCAGUAACUAGAGGAAAAGAAAUCAACGAGAUUCCCUAAGUAGUGGCGAGCGAACGGGGAAAAGGGCAAACCGAGUGCUUGCAUUCGGGGUUGAGGACUGCAACAUCCAAGAAAACGCUUUAGCAGAGUUACCUGGAAAGGUAAGCCAUAGAAAGUGAUAGCCUUGUAUGCGACAAGGCGUUUUCAGGUAGCAGUAUCCAGAGUAGGCCAGGACACGAGAAAUCCAGGUUGAAGCCGGGGAGACCACUCUCCAACCCUAAAUACUACUCUUUGAGCGAUAGCGAACAAGUACCGUGAGGGAAAGGUGAAAAGAACCGCAGUGAGCGGAGUGAAAUAGAACCUGAAACCAUCUGCUUACAAUCAUUCAGAGCCCUAUGAUUUAUCAGGGUGAUGGACUGCCUUUUGCAUAAUGAUCCUGCGAGUUGUGGUAUCUGGCAAGGUUAAGCGAAUGCGAAGCCGUAGCGAAAGCGAGUCUUAAUAGGGCGGUUAAGUCAGAUGCUGCAGACCCGAAGCUAAGUGAUCUAUCCAUGGCCAAGUUGAAACGCGUGUAAUAGCGCGUGGAGGACUGAACUCGUACCCAUUGAAACGGGUUGGGAUGAGCUGUGGAUAGGGGUGAAAGGCCAAACAAACUUAGUGAUAGCUGGUUCUCUUCGAAAUAUAUUUAGGUAUAGCCUCAAGUGAUAAUAAAAGGGGGUAGAGCCCUGAUUGGGCUAGGGCUGCUCGCCGCGGUACCAAACCCUAUCAAACUUCGAAUACCUUUUAUCGUAUCUUGGGAGUCAGGCGGUGGGUGAUAAAAUCAAUCGUCAAAAGGGGAACAACCCAGACUACCAAAUAAGGUCCCUAAGUUCUAUUCUGAGUGGAAAAAGAUGUGUGGCUACUCAAACAACCAGGAGGUUGGCUUAGAAGCAGCCAUCCUUUAAAGAAAGCGUAACAGCUCACUGGUCUAGUGGUCAUGCGCUGAAAAUAUAACGGGGCUAAGAUAGACACCGAAUUUGUAGAUUGUGUUAAACACAGUGGUAGAAGAGCGUUCAUACCAGCGUUGAAGGUAUACCGGUAAGGAGUGCUGGAGCGGUAUGAAGUGAGCAUGCAGGAAUGAGUAACGAUAAGAUAUAUGAGAAUUGUAUCCGCCGUAAAUCUAAGGUUUCCUACGCGAUGGUCGUCAUCGUAGGGUUAGUCGGGUCCUAAGCCGAGUCCGAAAGGGGUAGGUGAUGGCAAAUUGGUUAAUAUUCCAAUACCGACUCAUGGAGCGUGAUGGGGGGACGCAUAGGGUUAAGCGAGCUAGCUGAUGGAAGCGCUAGUCUAAGGGCGUAGAUUGGAGGGAAGGCAAAUCCACCUCUGUAUUUGAAACCCAAACAGGCUCUUUGAGUCCUUUUAGGACAAAGGGAGAAUCGCUGAUACCGUCGUGCCAAGAAAAGCCUCUAAGCAUAUCCGCAGUCGUCCGUACCGCAAACCGACACAGGUAGAUGAGAUGAGUAUUCUAAGGCGCGUGAAAGAACUCUGGUUAAGGAACUCUGCAAACUAGCACCGUAAGUUCGCGAUAAGGUGUGCCACAGCGAUGUGGUCUCAGCAAAGAGUCCCUCCCGACUGUUUACCAAAAACACAGCACUUUGCCAACUCGUAAGAGGAAGUAUAAGGUGUGACGCCUGCCCGGUGCUCGAAGGUUAAGAGGAUGCGUCAGUCGCAAGAUGAAGCGUUGAAUUGAAGCCCGAGUAAACGGCGG
RNAcentral lists this ribosomal RNA (1912 nucleotides) under Helicobacter pylori FD719. RNAcentral describes it as "bacterial LSU rRNA". It matches the Rfam family "Bacterial large subunit ribosomal RNA", at positions 1 to 1933 of the family's 2925-position model. The record is from RNAcentral. Lineage: Bacteria; Pseudomonadati; Campylobacterota; Epsilonproteobacteria; Campylobacterales; Helicobacteraceae.